CCUAUUCCUCCACCAUCUUCCUUCUUCUCAAUACACAACUUCAAUGCCUUGGCUUUAUUAUGUCGUGUGUCAUCCUAUCCCGAGCUGCCAGGAGUGCUCAUGACCUAUGUAUGAAGCUCAGCUUUAAACCUUAGGGGUGAGUUCUGUGAAGGUUCUGGGGGGCAUCUGGGGGGCUCUUCCUGCUGGACACCACCAUGUCAUCUGGGGCCAGAAGUGAAGUGGGCACCCACCUCUUUUGCUCUGCUUUUCCCAUCUUCCUCUACGCUCUGUCAGCAUGUGGGUUUCCCACCAACCAUAUCUCUGCAGACAAACUGUGAGGCGGUCUAUGGCUUGGGACUCCAUUGACCUCACAAAAUCUCAUUAUAACCAGUGUAAGAGGUUUCUGUGACACUGACAUGAACUUUGUUCCCAGAAUAUGCCACAUGAAGAGUCCCAUGAGACCCUGGGGGUCCAGAAAAUUUAAAUGUGUGAUUAUGGCUCGAGCUAAAGCCACUCAAGGGGAUCAUGCUGGAGGCCAUCUCAGAUCUCAGUCUGGCUCUGUCACCAAUUUCCAGGACAAUUUAGAGACAAUGGCUGACAAUGAGCAAAGUUGAUGGAAACUGGUCUGGAAUGCACGAGGUUCAAGAAGGUGCGAGGAAUCUGUGGUGUUUCAUCAUCAGUGAUUUUGCGGAUGAAGAACAUGCCUUUUGCGUGGAGUAUGAUAAGACUUGUUCCAAGUAUUUUCUAGUUGAUACAGAAAUCAGGGAGAGCAGCGCCCUCUAUCUGCUAGGAUAGGCGUGAGAGGCUGAGUGCUCUCAAGAAGGUGUCUGGCUGUCGCAGGGCUCACUGUAAGCCUGCGCACAGGACCGACGAGGACAGUUAAAGGUUUUGUUCUAAGGAUGGAGUAUUGGAGGAAUGUGGCGCCCCGUGUAAUCCUGGGAAGAGCACAGAUCUCGAGUCUGCUGUGGAGUGACUUCGUGAGAGGGGUGGUGAUCUGCAGCCUCCGGCUAACGAGAUGUGUGUCUUUUAUUAAGUUGUGGGUGUGGUUUCUAUGACGUUGUCCUAACAGCUGGGAUUUCCAAGGAGUGGGACUUUUUUCCGUCCCUCUAACAGUUGGUCCCCUGGGAAUGGGCAGGUCCUGUUCUGCUGCUGACGUGUGUCUCUAGCGUUUGGAGUGUGUAUUACAAGCCUAUAGGGGGUUACAGUGGUCGGCAGGCUAUUGUUAUUGAUGAUUUUUAUGGGUGGAUUCCAUAGGAUGAGAUGUUAGAUCUUCUGGCUAGGGAUCCUCAUUAAGUGCCAAUAAAGAGUGCUUUCUCUGAGUUUAAUGGUAGAUAUAUUUUUAUGACUUCUGCUAGCCCUCCUUGUACUUGGUAUUCCAAUGAGCAAUGUAUUACAAUAUAAAUAAUAAAUGCAGUGCCUGCAUUUUAUCCGUGUGUUGAUGAGUAUUUGAGAAUGGAAAACGUUGGCAAUGUGUCCACAAAUUGUACACU
This is a long non-coding RNA of Callorhinus ursinus (northern fur seal), 1469 nucleotides long. RefSeq lists it as uncharacterized. Lineage: Eukaryota; Metazoa; Chordata; Mammalia; Carnivora; Otariidae. The record is from RefSeq and is a predicted model, not a curated record.